GGGGGAGGUAGGGCUGAGUUAGGUUCUAUUGUUCUGUGACAGGUGGUGGGAGGUGGUGGGGUAUAUGAGCCAGGAUAGGAGAGCCAUACAGGGCCCGGUACUCUGUGACAGCCCCCCAGGGUGGUGGGUGGGUGGUGCCCUCUGAGCCUGGCUGGGAGGUGGGGGGUGACACUCACAGCAUGUCUGCCCUGCAGCUCCGCCAGUCGUUGUUUGCGGAUGGCGUCUAGCUCCGGAUCAGCCAUGUCUCCCCCAAGCCUGUCUCUCGUUACCGCUGGGCACUGAGUGCGUGUUACGUCACCACGCGCUCUGCAGGCCGUGCUAAUAGAGCGUGACGCAGCCUGCGCUAUCCAUUACCGAGCUCACCGGCUGUUGCCAUGGC
Pelobates cultripes (western spadefoot toad) is the source of this 379-nucleotide non-coding RNA. The record is from the annotation of a GenBank genome assembly. NCBI's taxonomy places the organism in Eukaryota, Metazoa, Chordata, Amphibia, Anura, Pelobatidae.